RNAcentral lists this ribosomal RNA (1017 nucleotides) under Triticum aestivum (bread wheat). RNAcentral's name for it is "partial small subunit ribosomal RNA". The record is from RNAcentral. Lineage: Eukaryota; Viridiplantae; Streptophyta; Magnoliopsida; Poales; Poaceae.
AUGGCAUGCCAGGGCCUGGAAACGGUCGGCGUAGUCUUGCACCGUGGAGGUGAAGGGAAGGCGGCCGAGCUCCGCCAGGCGGCUCCCGUGAACCGGAGGCCCAAAGCGAAGGAGGCAGAGCUCGCGGAAGCGCUCCCAAGGGGGCAUGGUGCCCUCGUCCUGCUCGAGGGCGUAAUACCAGGUCUGUGCCGCACCGCGGAGGUGGUACGAGGCGAGCCAGGUACGCUCCGAUGCGAGGGUGCGUUGCCCGCGAAAGAACUGGUCGCACUGGUUGAGCCAGUUGAGGGGGUCCUUCGUGCCGUCAUAGGUGGCGAAGUCAAUCUUGGCGAACCGCGGCGGUGUCUGGGUCGGAGCGCCGUGUCGAGCUGGCUCAGAGGUGCGGAGCAGCGAGGCGGGUGGCGCCUAGUUGGAGUACUCCGGGUAGGGACCGGCGGAACCGGAUGGCCCACCGAACUGCGGGAACGGAGUCGGCUGUUCGGGGGCCGUGGUGUAGACUGGCGAUGGCGAAGACCCAACCGCCCACGCUGGGAGUGGCGACGGGGAGGGCGGGAACCGGACCUGAUGGAUCGGGAGGCCGGUCGGCGAGGGUGCCCCCGAGCUGGGCAGGGGCACCGCCGGUGGUUGCAGCGGCAGCAGCGGGGGCUGGACGGGGGCAGCGGCUGCCGGGAACGGCAACGGCUGCAGGUGCCAGAGGGGCGCCGUCGAUGGUGGCGGCGGCAGAUGCCACAGGCCCGCGGCGGCUGGUGGUGGCCCACUGGAGUUCCCCGUCUGGGACGGCAACAGCGGGGGCCCGCCGCCUGCGGGUGCGCCCGGGAACAGCCACGGCGCAGGGUGGCCGUAGGUGGCGAUCGGCGCAGCCGGCGGAAGGCCGUACGCUCCUGCCAUGUACUGGUGGUACUGGUUCAUGUGGAGCCCUUGGAUGGCCGUCACGAGUUGCUGCAGCGUGCUGGUCAUCUGUUCCGGCGUGAAGACGGCGGUCGUCGGCAGCGCGGACGUGAUGGGCGCCGGCGGCAGUGA